CCUGAGAAUCUGGGACACCCUCCUUCA
This 27-nucleotide non-coding RNA is filed under the name Cricetulus griseus (Chinese hamster). Lineage: Eukaryota; Metazoa; Chordata; Mammalia; Rodentia; Cricetidae. The record is from RNAcentral.